CGGGCCUAACACAUGCAAGUCGUACGAGAACGCUCCUUCGGGAGUUAUUAAAGUGGCGCACGGGUGAGGAACGCGUAGGUAAUCUACCCUCAGGCGGGGGACAACACUCCGAAAGGAAUGCUAAUACCGCGUAAGACCACACUUACUAAGGUGAGAGUGGUAAAAGAUGGCCUCUUCUUGAAAGCUAUCACCAGAGGAUGAGCCUGCGUCCCAUCAGCUUGUUGGUAAGGUAACGGCUUACCAAGGCGAAGACGGGUAGCUGGUCUGAGAGGAUGAUCAGCCACACUGGCACUGGAACACGGGCCAGACUCCUACGGGAGGCAGCAGUGAGGAAUAUUGGGCAAUGGGCGCAAGCCUGACCCAGCCACGCCGCGUGUGUGAUGAAGGCCUUCGGGUCGUAAAGCACUGUGGGGAGAGACGAACAUGCGCAUGAGGAAAUGCUUGCGUACUGACGGUACCUCCUUAGCAAGCACCGGCUAACUCUGUG
RNAcentral lists this ribosomal RNA (487 nucleotides) under uncultured bacterium. Its description in RNAcentral is "bacterial SSU rRNA". It matches the Rfam family "Bacterial small subunit ribosomal RNA", at positions 43 to 507 of the family's 1533-position model. The record is from RNAcentral.